Molecule: transfer RNA, 71 nt
Filed under: Bacteroidales bacterium
Lineage: Bacteria; Pseudomonadati; Bacteroidota; Bacteroidia; Bacteroidales
Also listed under: 1 other name
Description: tRNA-Cys
Rfam family: tRNA
About the family: Transfer RNA (tRNA) molecules are approximately 80 nucleotides in length. Their secondary structure includes four short double-helical elements and three loops (D, anti-codon, and T loops).
Source: RNAcentral
GGUCGCGUGGCCGAGUGGUUAGGCGCCGGUCUGCAAAACCGUGCACGGCGGUUCGAAUCCGUUCGCGACCU